Non-coding RNA from Acyrthosiphon pisum (pea aphid), 66 nucleotides. Lineage: Eukaryota; Metazoa; Arthropoda; Insecta; Hemiptera; Aphididae. The record is from Rfam.
ACGGACGAAGGUUUCAUCAAUCGUGUUACAGAUAAACGUGUCGGUCGGUGGGACUUUCGUUCGUUU